AUUAUAGUGGCAGAUUAGUGCGUAGAAUUUAAGCUUCUAAUAUGGGGUUCUCCUAUAAUA
Molecule: transfer RNA, 60 nt
Filed under: Macrolenostreptus orestes
Lineage: Eukaryota; Metazoa; Arthropoda; Diplopoda; Spirostreptida; Spirostreptidae
Description: tRNA-Leu
Source: RNAcentral